RNAcentral lists this ribosomal RNA (301 nucleotides) under uncultured bacterium. RNAcentral describes it as "partial 16S ribosomal RNA". It matches the Rfam family "Bacterial small subunit ribosomal RNA", at positions 509 to 809 of the family's 1533-position model. The record is from RNAcentral.
CAGUCGCCACGGUAAAACGGAGGGAGCUAGCGUUGUUCGGAAUCACUGGGCGUAAAGCGCACGUAGGCGGCUAUUCAAGUCUGGGGUGAAAGCCCGGGGCUCAACCCCGGAACUGCCUUUGAAACUAGAUAGCUUGAAUCUUGGAGAGGCGAGUGGAAUUCCGAGUGUAGAGGUGAAGUUCGUAGAUAUUCGGAAGAACACCAGUGGCGAAGGCGACUCGCUGGACAAGUAUUGACGCUGAGGUGCGAAAGCGUGGGGAGCAAACAGGAUUAGAGACCCCCGUAGUCCCUGUCUCUUAUAU